RNAcentral lists this ribosomal RNA (440 nucleotides) under uncultured bacterium. Its description in RNAcentral is "partial 16S ribosomal RNA". It matches the Rfam family "Bacterial small subunit ribosomal RNA", at positions 338 to 795 of the family's 1533-position model. The record is from RNAcentral.
CCUACGGGUGGCAGCAGUGGGGAAUAUUGGACAAUGGGGGGAACCCUGAUCCAGCGACGCCGCGUGAGUGAUGAAGUAUUUCGGUGUGUAAAGCUCUAUCAGCACGGAAGAAACUCACGGUACCUGACUAAGAAUCCCCGGCUAACUACGUGCCAGCCGCCGCGGUAAGACGUAGGGGGCAGGCGUUAUCCGGAUUUACUGGGUGUAAAGGGAGCGUAGACGGUGCAGCAGGUCUGAUGUGAACGGUCGGGGCCCAACCCCGGGACUGCAGUGGAAACUGUGGAACUGGAGUACAGGAGAGGCAAGCGGAAUUCGUAGUGUAGCGGUGAAAUGCGUAGAUAUUAGGAGGAACCCCAGUGGCGAAGGCGGCUUACUGGACUGGAACUGACGUUGAGGCUCGAAAGCGUGGGGAGCAAACAGGAUUAGAUACCCUAGUAGUC